GCGUUGCGAGCCUGUGAGGGUGAGCGAAUCGCUGAAAGCCGGCCUCAGUUCGGAUUGGGGUCUGCAACUCGACCCCAUGAAGUCGGAGUCGCUAGUAAUCGCAGAUCAGCAACGCUGCGGUGAAUACGUUCCCGGGCCUUGUACACACCGCCCGUCACGUCAUGAAAGUUGGUAACACCCGAAGCCCAUGGCCCAACCAGUUUCUGGGGGGAGUGGUCGAAGGUGGGAUCGGCGAUUGGGACGAAGUCGUAACAAGGUAGCCGUACCGGAAGGUGCGGCUGGAUCACCUCCUUUCUA
RNAcentral lists this ribosomal RNA (297 nucleotides) under Metapseudomonas otitidis. RNAcentral's name for it is "partial 16S ribosomal RNA". It matches the Rfam family "Bacterial small subunit ribosomal RNA", at positions 1244 to 1533 of the family's 1533-position model. Lineage: Bacteria; Pseudomonadati; Pseudomonadota; Gammaproteobacteria; Pseudomonadales; Pseudomonadaceae. The record is from RNAcentral.